GACGAACGCUGGCGGCGUGCUUAACACAUGCAAGUCGAACGGAAAGGCCCUGCUUGCAGGGUACUCGAGUGGCGAACGGGUGAGUAACACGUGGGUGAUCUGCCCUGCACUUCGGGAUAAGCCUGGGAAACUGGGUCUAAUACCGGAUAGGAGCCAUUUUUAGUGUGAUGGUUGGAAAGUUUUUUCGGUGUAGGAUGAGCUCGCGGCCUAUCAGCUUGUUGGUGGGGUAAUGGCCUACCAAGGCGGCGACGGGUAGCCGGCCUGAGAGGGUGGACGGCCACAUUGGGACUGAGAUACGGCCCAGACUCCUACGGGAGGCAGCAGUGGGGAAUAUUGCACAAUGGGCGCAAGCCUGAUGCAGCGACGCCGCGUGGGGGAUGACGGCCUUCGGGUUGUAAACUCCUUUCGCUAGGGACGAAGCUUUUUGUAACGGUACCUAGAUAAGAAGCACCGGCUAACUACGCG
This 465-nucleotide ribosomal RNA is filed under the name uncultured bacterium. RNAcentral's name for it is "partial 16S ribosomal RNA". It matches the Rfam family "Bacterial small subunit ribosomal RNA", at positions 28 to 507 of the family's 1533-position model. The record is from RNAcentral.